AAAGUUAAUUGGUUAUACUCCGGUAUAAAUCUAAUUAAACACCUCUGAGUACCUUACCUGUUGCUUCCGUGAGGCCUGACUCCAGCAGUGGUUCGCCACCGCUGGAUACUUGCGGAAGGUAUACACUUAAACACUUUGAAUCUAUGUCAUCUGUCUGAUAAUGUUUAUAACAAACGUUA
RNAcentral lists this unclassified non-coding RNA (179 nucleotides) under uncultured Pezizales. RNAcentral describes it as "sequence contains ITS1". Lineage: Eukaryota; Fungi; Ascomycota; Pezizomycetes; Pezizales. The record is from RNAcentral.